UGGGGGAUAACGCUGGGAAACUGGCGCUAAUACCGCAUACGUCGGCGGGGCUACGGCUCCGCCAAGAAAGCUGGCCUCUGCUUGCAUGCUAGCGCUCCUAGAGGAGCCCGCGGCUGAUUAGCUAGUUGGUGGGGUAAUGUCCCACCAAGGCGACGAUCAGUAGCCGGCCUGAGAGGGUGAUCGGCCACACUGGGACUGAGACACGGCCCAG
RNAcentral lists this ribosomal RNA (211 nucleotides) under uncultured bacterium. RNAcentral's name for it is "partial 16S ribosomal RNA". It matches the Rfam family "Bacterial small subunit ribosomal RNA", at positions 137 to 334 of the family's 1533-position model. The record is from RNAcentral.